Molecule: ribosomal RNA, 251 nt
Filed under: uncultured prokaryote
Description: partial 16S ribosomal RNA
Rfam family: Bacterial small subunit ribosomal RNA
Source: RNAcentral
UACGGAGGAUGCAAGCGUUAUCCGGAUUCAUUGGGUUUAAAGGGUGCGUAGGCGGGCUAUUAAGUCAGUGGUGAAAUCCUGCAGCUUAACUGCAGAACUGCCGUUGAUACUGAUAGUCUUGAGUUUGGUUAAGGUAGGCGGAAUGUGUAAUGUAUCGGUGAAAUGCUUAGAUAUUACACAGAACACCAAUUGCGUAGGCAGCUUACUGAGCCGACACUGACGCUGAGGCACGAAAGCGUGGGGAUCAAACA